AUCCAGACACACCCAUUUCAUGCAACUUAGCCUAUUUUCACCGGAAGAUUCCGCCAAAGCCACCAGGACGGUAACCGUCCUAGAGAACUGACUUGUAACUCAAUUCAACAGAAAAAGAAUGCAUGUUAAGUGCCAGAAUAUAUCUAUGCUAGGAUAUAAAGGAAGAGCAAUAUUUUGCACAUUCUCCAGAAUAGGGAUGAUCCCUAAGGGAGAUAUCAAAGAGUUGGGUAUUCUAAUACUAGGAGGCAGCGUCCGUUCUGCCUAGAGAGCAGAUGUGACUGUUUAGAACUCUUUGUUGAGCGAAUAAACUGGGGAGAAGGGCAAGGUUAAGUCCGACGCAUUUUCAGAUCCGCCACCAUUUACCUUAGGACCUGGAGAAAAGACUGUUUCAGUUAGCUAGCUUGAAGGCCUGCUUGGGAAGCAAGAUAGACAAGGAUUUUUUUUCCCCAUCCUCUAGCCUCACGCCUUAUUUUUCUUUCACAAUUCUGGCCAAAGAAAGCAGUAACUCAUAAUCAGAAGAGAAUUUAUCAUGAAGUUAAUUAAGCUGUGUACCUAAUUUUGUAUCUGUCAUCGUGUAUUCUUAAAAGAAGACUCCGACAUUGUAUAAGUUCUGGAUCUGAACAAAACCUGGAUAAACUCUGGUGCUUUAUUAACUUGAUGAAGAUUAGUGACACUGAGGAAUACUGAGGAACCAGGCUCUAUUCCACCCCAUCCCCUUCAUACACACCUCAUUCCAAAUGCUAUCCUGUCACAGCAGAUGCCACAUCACUUUUGGGGUGGGCUAAGAGAUCAAGGACAUAUGCCGUGCCCAAAUUUCAUCUAAUAAUUAAAAAUACGGGAAGUGACACAAAAGGGAAAACACAGGAUGCUCUGGAAACUUGUUAUAGGCAGCGAGUGGGAAGGAGACCUAGAGUCAGAGGAAGCUACUACUGGAAAGAGGAGCAGAACUGAGCCAGGCAAAUAGGAGAGAAAAUGUAUUUCAGGCAGAAGAAACAGCACUCUGGAAACCCAACAUCUAGCCUUUGAGAAUGUAAAAUGAAGCCAGGAUGACACUACCAAUUCCAAGCUGUGUGUGUGUGCAUGCAUGUGCAUGUAUGUGUAUAUAUAUUAGAUGUAUAUUUUAACAUUCUGACUUAACAUUAAUAUUAACAUAUUAAUAUUUAUUUAUUGAAAUAUUUAACGUGUAUUUUAAUAUUAAAUUCUGGAUUUCCAAACCAGAUCAGAAAUAGUCUUCACUCUGUUUUCAGUAGGUCAGAUCCCACAGGGCAAGAGGGGGAGGAGACAGCUCCCACUGUUUCUUGGCCUUACCUCCACCCCCAUCCCAAUUAAGGCACGUCCCCUUCCCUGCAGCUACCUCUCUAAAGAGCCCUCUCCUUUUAACACUGGUUCCCAGAUUUUCCCAUUUAUCUCACAGCAGCAGGAGUCACAGCUGGGUUCAAUCUCUGCACGCCACCAUCACCGCCCCUCCCCCAAAGUUGUAGAAAUGUUAUUCUAAAUUUAAACCACACAGCACCAAACUAAAAAUGGCUUUAAAAGAGGAUCAA
RNAcentral lists this long non-coding RNA (1544 nucleotides) under Homo sapiens (human). RNAcentral's name for it is "HSALNT0292898". Lineage: Eukaryota; Metazoa; Chordata; Mammalia; Primates; Hominidae. The record is from RNAcentral.